CACACUGUGUAACUCGUUCCGCUAGCACAAUGAACGUUAUAAUAACAUCGUUGGUGAUAUGGUCAAUUUGCAUCGGCGACCAAACUGGUAUGCUUGGAUUUAUCGUAUUUGUUGAAGCGCUUACCUGUCUUCAUUGCGAUUACGUUGUGCAGCCUCGACACUGCGACACGGUCCUUUCAUGCCCGGAUGAUGAUGCUUGCUCUGUCGAGAGGCAGACAAAUACCUUUGGUGAAAUAGGCUACAGCCUGGGGUGUCGAGCAAAAAGUGGUGUGGAAAUUCAACCUUCAGUUCAAGUCAUUGCUUGCAAUGUUGUGACAGCGACGUGUGCAAUCAUGCUGGAUGCGGUGAAGAAGUUUAAAAUUCCAAAUACGGAUAAUUGGUCGACAAUUUCCUUGGUUCUCCUGUUUUUAAUGUAUAUAUAGCUAAAUAUCAAAUAAAUGUAUGUUUUAUAACUAAUUGAUCACAAGGGUAAUAUAAGUUCUUUUUAUACUUCAAAAUCAAACAAACGCAUACAACGUCACACAUCACAUACAUUUUUCGUGAAAUAAUCAUACCGCCAAUCUUGAAUAAAAACACGACAUACGUGAUAAAGGUAAAAAUAAAAAAACAUAAAAAUAAAAAAAGGGGGAGGGGGUUUAAGAGCGUGUUUUUGUAAGUAUACUGAACACCCAAAAUAGCUGCGAAACCAUUCUUCUUCCAGGAUAUCCACCCAAAGUGGCCCUGUGUGUUACAGUUGUCAGAAUCCGUUACCUGAGGGCCGUUGCCAUCAUGUUGAAGUUUGUCAGAAACGAGAGAUGUGCAGUGCCAAUGGCCAGGACAAGUUUGGAACAACAUUAUUUACAUCCGGUUGCAUAUCAAAAGAGUGUCCCGACCAGGAAUUGAACCGGGAACCUCUGGAACGGUAGACCAGAAUGUUACCACUCGACUACCGCACCACCCAACUACGCUACUAUAUUUACUAAAUCCCUUUGCAAGGAAUUGCUCUGAACUCCACAAUAUUGACUCCUCCCUACCAAGUGGCGUGCACACCAUCACCACCCCUGUCACUCACACCAAGAUACAGGUGUACUGUGACAUGGAGACCGAUGGAGAAGGAUGGACGGUCUUUCAAAAGCGGUUCAAUGGCAGCGAGAAUUUCUAGCGGAACUUCAGUGACUAUGAAAACGGCUUUGGAUUGGUCCAUGCAGGAAACAAACACCCACCAUGAACUGUUUCAUCAAUUAUUUAAAAUUAAAGAUUCUGAUUAAAAAAAGAAAUAGCCCUCAACAACGAUACACUUCAUAUAUUUGAACUUAAAUGGAAACAUAUUAAACUUUCAUAAACAUGUCCAGUUUGUUAUCUACCCACUUUAUGCAACUCAUAUUUAUUCAUAUAUAUAACAUGUUUGAACAUUAU
Long non-coding RNA from Dreissena polymorpha, 1395 nucleotides. RefSeq lists it as uncharacterized. Lineage: Eukaryota; Metazoa; Mollusca; Bivalvia; Myida; Dreissenidae. The record is from RefSeq and is a predicted model, not a curated record. The transcript is spliced from 9 exons.